GCUGUAGGGACAAUAAUUGAAGGAGGAUAUAGUAACAGCAUGUAACUGGACAAUGGCGCAAAUGAGGGAUUUUGAGGACCUGAGCCCUAGGACCAUGCCCCAGGACUACCUGACAUGAUGACUCCUUGCUGUCCCCAGUCCACCUGGCCGUGCUGCUGCUCCAGUUUCAACUGUUCUGACUUAUUAUUAUUCGACCAUGCUGGUCAUUUAUGAACAUUUGAACAUCUUGGCCAUGUUCUGUUAUAAUCUCCACCCGGCACAGCCAGAAGAGGACUGGCCACCCCACAUAGCCUGGUUCCUCUCUAGGUUUCUUCCUAGGUUUUGGCCUUUCUAGGGAGUUUUUCCUAGCCACCGUGCUUCUACACCUGCAUUGCUUGCUGUUUGGGGUUUUAGGCUGGGUUUUUGUACAGCACUUUGAGAUAUCAGCUGAUGUACGAAGGGCUAUAUAAAUAAAUUUGAUUUGAUUUCCCCCCCCUCAUCAAUCUACACCUAAUACCCCAUAAUGACAAAGUGUCAU
Molecule: long non-coding RNA, 517 nt
Organism: Oncorhynchus tshawytscha (Chinook salmon)
Lineage: Eukaryota; Metazoa; Chordata; Actinopteri; Salmoniformes; Salmonidae
Source: Ensembl